UGGGGGGUGGUCUAGCGGCAAGACGCAGGUUUUUGGUGCCUUGCGACCCCGGUUCGAAUCCGGGCCCCCCAG
This 72-nucleotide transfer RNA is filed under the name Solirubrobacter deserti. RNAcentral describes it as "tRNA-Gln". It matches the Rfam family "tRNA". From Rfam's summary of the family: Transfer RNA (tRNA) molecules are approximately 80 nucleotides in length. Their secondary structure includes four short double-helical elements and three loops (D, anti-codon, and T loops). Lineage: Bacteria; Bacillati; Actinomycetota; Thermoleophilia; Solirubrobacterales; Solirubrobacteraceae. The record is from RNAcentral.